GUCCCCUCCUCUGCCCCGUGGAUCCCGAGGCGCCUCGUGCCGAAAGCGCGCAGGGCCCGCCACCCAGAAGCCCACUGGCCUCGCUGCGGUGGGGUCUCCGGCGGCCCGAGUUACAACGUUCUUUUCCCCUCCUCCCCGCUCCCGCCCGCUGCCGCCGCUCACGCGCCACUGCCGCUACCUCGGUCGUAAAGUCCGCGCGGGGCCGCGUUCUGUCGAUCCCGCAGAGAGGGAGGCGGUUUGCACCUGGUGGGUCUCCGCGCCGGGUCCUGACCAAGGUGCCUAUUCGAGUUAUUUGCAAGCCGUCAGAAUUCUGCUUACAGUAUAUGUGUGUUCUGCAUCCCUGCAGCUGCAGAAGAAAUUUUAGUAACCCCCUCCGUACCUGCCUUCAUUUAAAGAAGAAAGAAAAAAAAAUCUGAAACAAAGUGAAAAUAACCUUGCACUAGGAUGCUGUGGGCGAGAGGAAAAGAAGAGUUAUUUUACAACGAACUUUAAUUUUUUUUUAAAUAAUGGAAUCCUUAAUUGUUUUGAACGUAAUGGUGCAAUACAUUAAAGUGGUGGACAAUGACUAUUAGAGGUAGCUUGUGUUUGAGGAUUUGGGAGCCCGCUGAAAGCAGAGAAUAGAAAUUCAUGAUCUGGAACCACGUAGGCAAGCCAUGAAAAGAUCCGCCACACCAAGAGGAGACUUUUGUAGACAAGAAAAGGAAGAUGCAAUAAACACAGAGCUCUUCACCAGGUGCGUCCUUGCCAGGAAAGAAGAGGACACUUUCUUCUUCCUCUUGGGCUCUUCAUCCUUAGAGUGUGAGAGCUCGCUUCUGGUAUGCCAUCUCCAUUUCAUUUUUUAUACAUUAAAAAGAAAAAUAAGGAGAUCCCUGUGACUCAGCAGGUUAAGAAUCAGGCAAAUGAAGCACUACAGCAGCUCAAGUUGCUACUAUGGUAUAGUUUCAAUUCCUGGCCAGGGAAAUUUCAUAAUCCAAGGGUGUGGCAAAAGAAGAGUAAGAAAGAGAAGGAGAGGGAGAGGGAGAAGGAGGAGAAUGAAAAAAAAGAGGUAGGCCAGUAGGCUGAAGAAUAAGAGAAAGUUAAUGCUAUGGUUUGAGUCUGAAUGCAAUCUUUUUAACUGAUUGACAAAAGCCCAUUCACAUUAUAGAUGGUAAUCUGCUUUCCUAAAAAUAAUCUCAUUUUAAAAAACACUUUCACAGAAAAAUGUCAAAUACUGCUGGACUAAGUAUCUGAGUACUUUGUCUUAGAUGAAUUGACAUCUAAAUUAACCAUCACUCUGUGUCUAGCAAAAGUUUAUUAUUAAACAGUGGGUGAAGUUCAUAUUGUGUUGUAACUUUUGAAUUUGUAAAACAAUAUCAAGUAUCAAUUUUAACCUGCAUAUUUAAGAGACACUUACUCUAUGAAUAAAAUUAGUUUAAAAUAAUGACUGCCAAUUAGGUGACUUUCAAGCAGUAUUUUCACACUUCUUAAAUAGAUAUUGUUUAAUUAAUUUCUGAAAAUCAUCACCAGCUGAACUAUAAUUUAUGGUUAUAGGUCACAAAAGAUGGCAAAUUAGCACAACUAAAUAGGUAAAAAUCAAUAUAGGAAGCCUAGAAAAUGACCAGUGGCAAUAAGUACCACAUUACUCAGAUUAAGGCUUUUAUAUAUCAUUUUCCACAAAAAGAAAACAGAUUCCCUUGGAGUGGCAAUUCACUGGUGAGGACAUCUUGUAAUACAAAAUUAAGGAAAAAAAAUGUAAAAAUCAGAUUGUUUCUAAAGAUGUCAUAACCCAGUAAGAAGAGGCUUCCAUUUGCUAAAGAUAAAAUUUGUAUUUAAAAAAUAGUGAAUACAUGUUAUUAUACUUGUAAAACCCAUAUAGAAUGCAAAACAGCAAGUGUAAUUCCUAUUAAAAAAUGUAUACUUUGGGUAAUGAUGACAUGUCAAUGUAGGCUCAUCACUUGUAAUAAAUGUACCAUCUGCUGUGGGAUGUUGAUAGUGGGGGAGGCUGUGCAUGUGGGAAUCUCUGUACCUUUUUCUUAAUUUUACUAAGAGGGAAUUCCUGUUGUGGCAUAGCAGUAACAAACCCAACUGGAAUCCAUGAGGAUGUGGGUUUGAUCCCUGACCCCGCUCAGUGGGUUGAGGCUCUGGUGUUGCUACAUGCUGUGGUGUAGGUCAAACAAGCUUGGAAUUGCUGUGGUUGUGGUAUAGGCCAGCAGCUGGAGCUCUGUUUCGACCCCUAGCUUGGGAACUUCCGCAUGAAGCAGGUGCAGCCCUAAAAGCAAAAAAGCAAAAAUAAAAAUUUUUCUGUGAACACAAAACAACUCUAUAAAAUACAGUUUAUUUAAGAGGAAAAAAAAAAGAGUAUUAACUGAAAAAUUACCUAGAUGGUUCAACAGAAGUGCUGCUGAACUGGAGAGUAGGUCAGUUGAAAUUAUUCAGUGUGAGGAGCAGAAAGAAGAUUCAAGGAGGAGUUCCUGUCAUGGUGAAGCAGAAACAAAUCCGACUAGGAACCAUGAGGUUGUGAGUUUGAUCCUUGGCCUUGCCCAGUGGGCUAAGGAUCCAAAAUUGCCAUGAGCUGUGGUAUAGUUCACAAUGAGGCCCGGAUUCUGCAUUGCUGUGGCAGUGGUGUAGGCUGGCGGGUAUAACUCUGAUUUGCCCCCUAGCCUGGUAACUUCCAUACACUGUGGGUGUGGCCCUAAAAAAAAAAAAAAAAGCAAAAAUAUAUAAAUAAAUAAAUAUAUAAAUAAAAAAUUAAAAAUCAUUGCAAUUCUCACUUAAAAUAAAAAAUUUUUAAAUGAAAAAAUAUAGAUAUAAAAAAAGACAAUUCAAGGAGCAGAAAGAUAUUCAAGAAGCCUGUGAAACAGCAAACACACACAUUGCACGUAAUGAGAGUCUAGAGUCUAGGAAGAGAGGAGGAAAAAAAGGGAAGAAAUUAUAUUUGAAGAAGUAGGCUGGAAAAAACCUAACAUGUGAUUAAAGGUGGAAAUUUACAAAUUAAAGAAACUCAAAAAGCAUCAGAAUAAAAUAGUUCUUCACCAAAUAUAUUAUAAUGAAAUUAUAUAAGCCAAAGCAAAUAUUGAAGACAGAAAAACAGAAGCAACUCUUGAGUUACAAGACUCUCCAGUAAGAUUAACAGCCCAUUUCUAAUCAGAAAAACUUUAGGCUACAUGGUAGUGAGAUGGUAUUUUUAGAGUGUUGGAAAAAAAUUAAAAUGUCAAUGGUGGAUUUUAUAACCAGUAACCAUUGCUGAAAAUGAAGGAGGAACUCAAUCCUAGCAGGCCUAUCCUACAAGAAAUGCUAAGAGAAGCCAAUCAGUCUCUAAUAAAAGGAUACUAUCAAGUAAUCUGAAGCCAUUCAAAGAAAUAGAGAAUACUGGUAAAGGUAGCUAUAUCAAUAUAUCAUUAUCAGUAGUACUGAAUAUAUUAUUUGUGACUCUUCCAUUUUUUUUCCUAGGACUUAAAAACAAGUGCAUGAAACAGUAAUCAUAAAUCUAUGUUAAAAUCAAUGUAUAAAGAUAUAAUUUGUGAUAAUAAUAGCAUAAUGGCAUAGCAGAAGUAGAGGUGUUUAUAAAAAGUUUUGUAUAAACUGAUAAACCAUUUAAGAGUAUUGUAAAUUUAAAAUGUUAAUUCUAAUCCCCAAAAUAACCAUCACAAAAUUUAUAUAUAAAUUAGAACAUCACAAAAACUUAAUUUAAAAAAGUAAACUAAACUAAAAGAAGGCAGUAAUCGAAAAACUGAGUAACAAAAAAGGCAUAAUAAGGCAUAUAGAAAACAGAUAGAAUGGCAGAAGUAAGCCCUUUUUAAUUGGUAAUUAAAUUUAGAUAAAUUAAAUGUAGAUAAAUUAAACUUUCUAGUUAAAAAGCAGUGAUGAACGGAGUUCGGGUUGUGGUGGAGUGGUUAACAAAUCCGACUAGAAACUGUGAGGUUCGAUCCCUGGCCUUGCUCAGUGGGUUAAGGAUCUAGCAUUGCUGUGGCUGUGGUGUAGGCUGGCAGCUACAGCUCUGAUUUGACCCCUCUCCUGGGAACCUCCAUAUGCUGCGGAAGGGCCCU
RNAcentral lists this long non-coding RNA (4025 nucleotides) under Sus scrofa (pig). RNAcentral describes it as "lncRNA (ENSSSCG00000044223.2)". The record is from RNAcentral. Lineage: Eukaryota; Metazoa; Chordata; Mammalia; Artiodactyla; Suidae.